This 72-nucleotide transfer RNA is filed under the name Stegodyphus mimosarum. It matches the Rfam family "tRNA". From Rfam's summary of the family: Transfer RNA (tRNA) molecules are approximately 80 nucleotides in length. Lineage: Eukaryota; Metazoa; Arthropoda; Arachnida; Araneae; Eresidae. The record is from Rfam by way of RNAcentral.
GCCUUCAUGGUGUAACGGUAGCCACACUCGGCUUGUAUUCUAGAGGUCCAGGUUCGAGUCCCAGCGAGGGCA